Cavia porcellus (domestic guinea pig) is the source of this 512-nucleotide long non-coding RNA. RefSeq lists it as uncharacterized. NCBI's taxonomy places the organism in Eukaryota, Metazoa, Chordata, Mammalia, Rodentia, Caviidae. The transcript has 4 exons. The record is from RefSeq and is a predicted model, not a curated record.
AUGUUGUAAACGCGCAGUGUCUAAGGCAGUUUGGAACUCUGAGGCAGACAGAGUUUGCCUGUAGAGAGAGCAUAGUCAUGCUUGGGGCAGGGCUGAGGUUAUUGGGCAUGCAGCGCAUAGAUGGAACAUGAAGAGUGGGCAGAAAGGGCCGGCACCGGCACGAAUAGGCCGGAGCAGUGGGGAACAGGUUGGAUGUGGAGCUGAGUUGCCACAUGGAGCUGAAAUUGUUUGUGGGGUGCACAGAAACAUCAACCCCGUGUGGACCUGAAGUGCUGCAUGAGAGUGGAGAUACUGCACAGAAUUGGAGCGUGGUCUACAGCAGGAAACUGGAAGAAGUUGCAUGCCAAACUCAGUGAGCAAAUCAGGACCUUGGAGAAGUCUCAGCGGGAUCUGGAAAGAUCUAGCUGAUAAGGAUGAUAGCAUCCAUGCUCUGCCCAACUGCAUUAUGGAGCUGAAUCAUUUGGAGAGUGGAUCAGAAUCUGAGGGUCCAGGUCCAGGCAGAUGUGAGCCAG